RNAcentral lists this ribosomal RNA (253 nucleotides) under uncultured bacterium. RNAcentral's name for it is "partial 16S ribosomal RNA". It matches the Rfam family "Bacterial small subunit ribosomal RNA", at positions 524 to 776 of the family's 1533-position model. The record is from RNAcentral.
UACAGAGGGUGCGAGCGUUGUCCGGAAUCACUGGGCGUAAAGGGCGCGUAGGUGGCUUGUUAAGCGUGUGGUGAAAGCCUGGGGCUCAACCCCAGGUCUGCCGUGCGAACUGGCAAGCUUGAGCGUAGUAGAGGCAGGUGGAAUUUCGGGUGUAGCGGUGGAAUGCGUAGAUAUCCGAAAGAACACCGGUGGCGAAGGCGGCCUGCUGGGCUACUGCUGACACUGAUGCGCGACAGCGUGGGGAGCAAACAGG